This is a non-coding RNA of Pelecanus crispus (Dalmatian pelican), 627 nucleotides long. The record is from RefSeq and is a predicted model, not a curated record. Lineage: Eukaryota; Metazoa; Chordata; Aves; Pelecaniformes; Pelecanidae.
AGUAAGCUGUGAAGGAGGCUGUCAAAAUGGUGGGGAAUGCAUCUCUGUCAAUGGAGUUGUGAAGUGCCUUUGUGCUUCUGGCUGGACAGGAUCAAGAUGCCAAGAAGCAAUUUGUCCCCAGGGUUGUCGGAAUAAUGGAGCUUGUGUGGCUCCUGGGAUUUGUAGCUGUCCAGCUGGAUGGGUUGGUGGAGCAUGUCACUUAGCUGUAUGUAAACUACCUUGUCAACAUGGAGGAAAAUGCAUAGCUCCAAACGUGUGCAGAUGUCGACUGCCGUACUCUGGUCUACAGUGUACAAAGAAAAGGAAGGAAUGAAGCAACUUCAGCAAAGAUAAGCUGCAUUUUCUUCAUGUAACUCUUCGUACAGAGAUGAAGUCUGCAGCAGUGAGAGACCUUAAAAUAAACAUGGUAACUAAUUGAUUUCAGAUAGCUUUUUGUCUUCAGUAUAUUAAGUAAAUGCUUUUCUGUAUGAAAGAAAAGUAUUGCUGAUUGUAGCAAAGCUGUUAAAAGUAUCCAAGUGUAUGUAGUGUAUGGCACAUGUUUUCUUCUGUUCUCAUUUUUCUUCAUAAGCAGAAGUAUUAUGUCUUGGUUGAUGCAGCUGACCGUGAAAUAAAAUUUACUCUUCAAAU